UACGUAGGGACCAAGCGUUGUUCGGAUUUACCGGGCGUAAAGGGCGCGUAGGCGGCAUAUUAAGUCAGCUGUGAAAUCUCCGAGCUUAACUCGGAACUGUCAGCUGAUACUGAUGUGCUAGAGUGCAGAAGGGGCAAUCGGAAUUCUUGGUGUAGCGGUGAAAUGCGUAGAUAUCAAGAGGAACACCUGAGGUGAAGACGGGUGGCUGGGCUGACACUGACGCUGAGUGCGCGAAAGCCAGGGGAGCAAACGGG
This 254-nucleotide ribosomal RNA is filed under the name uncultured bacterium. Its description in RNAcentral is "partial 16S ribosomal RNA". It matches the Rfam family "Bacterial small subunit ribosomal RNA", at positions 524 to 776 of the family's 1533-position model. The record is from RNAcentral.